GUUUAAAUAGUUUAAAAAAAAUUUAAUAUUGAAGAUAUUAAGAUAAUAUUUAUAUUUUUAAAUG
This 64-nucleotide transfer RNA is filed under the name Trichogramma japonicum. Its description in RNAcentral is "tRNA-Phe". The record is from RNAcentral. Lineage: Eukaryota; Metazoa; Arthropoda; Insecta; Hymenoptera; Trichogrammatidae.